This 463-nucleotide ribosomal RNA is filed under the name uncultured bacterium. RNAcentral describes it as "bacterial SSU rRNA". It matches the Rfam family "Bacterial small subunit ribosomal RNA", at positions 544 to 1006 of the family's 1533-position model. The record is from RNAcentral.
AUCGGAAUUACUGGGCGUAAAGCGCACGCAGGCGGUUUGUUAAGUCAGAUGUGAAAUCCCCGGGCUCAACCUGGGAACUGCAUCUGAUACUGGCAAGCUUGAGUCUCGUAGAGGGGGGUAGAAUUCCAGGUGUAGCGGUGAAAUGCGUAGAGAUCUGGAGGAAUACCGGUGGCGAAGGCGGCCCCCUGGACGAAGACUGACGCUCAGGUGCGAAAGCGUGGGGAGCAAACAGGAUUAGAUACCCUGGUAGUCCACGCCGUAAACGAUGUCGACUUGGAGGGUGUGCCCUUGAGGCGUGGCUUCCGGAGCUAACGCGUUAAGUCGACCGCCUGGGGAGUACGGCCGCAAGGUUAAAACUCAAAUGAAUUGACGGGGGCCCGCACAAGCGGUGGAGCAUGUGGUUUAAUUCGAUGCAACGCGAAGAACCUUACCUGGUCUUGACAUCCACGGAAGUUUUCAGAGA